GCAGGCUUGAGUCUUGUAGAGGGGGGUAGAAUUCCAGGUGUAGCGGUGAAAUGCGUAGAGAUCUGGAGGAAUACCGGUGGCGAAGGCGGCCCCCUGGACAAAGACUGACGCUCAGGUGCGAAAGCGUGGGGAGCAAACAGGAUUAGAUACCCUGGUAGUCCACGCCGUAAACGAUGUCUACUUGGAGGUUGUGCCCUUGAGGCGUGGCUUCCGGAGCUAACGCGUUAAGUAGACCGCCUGGGGAGUACGGCCGCAAGGUUAAAACUCAAAUGAAUUGACGGGGGCCCGCACAAGCGGUGGAGCAUGUGGUUUAAUUCGAUGCAACGCGAAGAACCUUACCUGGUCUUGACAUCCACGGAACUUUCCAGAGAUGGAUUGGUGCCUUCGGGAACCGUGAGACAGGUGCUGCAUGGCUGUCGUCAGCUCGUGUUGUGAAAUGUUGGGUUAAGUCCCGCAACGAGCGCAACCCUUAUCCUUUGUUGCCAGCGGUCCGG
Molecule: ribosomal RNA, 494 nt
Filed under: Salmonella enterica
Lineage: Bacteria; Pseudomonadati; Pseudomonadota; Gammaproteobacteria; Enterobacterales; Enterobacteriaceae
Description: bacterial SSU rRNA
Rfam family: Bacterial small subunit ribosomal RNA
Source: RNAcentral